This 2451-nucleotide long non-coding RNA is filed under the name Triticum aestivum (bread wheat). RNAcentral's name for it is "long non-coding RNA (TAES_LNC000528)". The record is from RNAcentral. Lineage: Eukaryota; Viridiplantae; Streptophyta; Magnoliopsida; Poales; Poaceae.
GGCCGUGGCCUCCUCUCCCACCACCCCACAAAUAGCUAACCUCCUCCCCUUCCUCCCACUUAAAAAAAAGCUAACCUCCUCCCCGUACCCACUUGCUCCUAAUUUUCCUCUCCGUCUCCACAAUCAUCUCCUCGCCACCCUGGUUCUCGGAUCAAACGCAGAUCAAGGCUCCCGGGAUGCUUAUCCUGGAGCAACGUACUGAAAUGCAGAGUCGAGAAAGAAUCAUUAACCCCUCACCCAAAUCUUUCUUGCAGGAAAUUUUGGAUUUGAUUUCGUACUAGGUGGUGCCACCGGGGGCCACGAUCUGGAGCGACGGGGAGGACGUAUGGAACACCGACCUAUCCAAGUUCGAGAUCCGGGCCAGGUUCGCGUCUGGUACGCCGUCCUCAACGUCGCCAUCAAGAUGGUGAGCCAGCUAGAGCUGGAUCCCGCCAUCGCCGCCUAGUUCGAGCGCAGCCUUCGAGGUCUCCCUCUGCCUCCGCCACCAGAACAUCAUCACCGUACGUACUUCUGCAAUCCUCUUGUUUUCUCAGUCCAACCUUUCUCAGCCGCAAGUCCCGCCCUCCGUCGAUCUGAUCCACCAGCGUCGAUGGCGACGCAUCCAUGUUUCUCUGCUGGAUCUUUGAGUUCUUAGUCAUAUUAGUAUUUCGACAUCUUCGCUGGAUUUCCCGCUAUAGUGUUGUAGAAUAGGGCAGGCCCAAGCUCCCUCUUCUCCUUUCCAGAUGUUCAAUUUUAGGCAUGUUUCCUAUCUAGUUCUCCAUCUGCAGGUUGUUGCUACUUAGCUGACUGAUUUACAUAUAUGGAACCGUGGCUAUCUGUGUUAAUUCACAGGAAGAAUAUUUCCUUCCUCCUUUCUGACAAACUGUUUUUGUGAUGCAUUUAAUUUCUUUGAUUUUCUUGCUACUAUAUAGUAUGUAGGUGAAUACUUAAUUACUAAUAUUUUCAAUUGAAGUUGAUCAUCAGACUCAUUCAAUUAGCUGCCAUAUUAUCUCAAAUUAUUCCUAGUUUGUGACCAUGUCAUCAAAGUGGAUCUUCAAGGAUCAAUGGGUCAACACUAUUAACAACGAAUGACAUUUGGUUACUUUAAGGAGAAAAAAAGAUCCCCUUAUCAGUGUUAUGAAUCUUAUUAAUUUGUUUGACACACUUUGCACUAAAGAAUUGAGUCAGACAUGCACAUCUCUGCACAUCUUAACUCGUUCCUGUAGGUUCUGUAUGUUUCUUGUGCCGCCCCACUUCUAUCUAUUUUGGUGUCCGCAUCAUCAGUUACACCAAUAUUAUCCACCGGGUUGCCAUUCCAGGCUUUGACUAUGCUCAUUUUUGGGUUUAAAAUUUGGUUUAGUUGUAAACGUGCAGGGCAGGAACAAUGCGAGGUUAGGUGCGUCUCCUUUAUGGACGACAGCAGUGACUCGGCCGCACUAAUGCAGCGAAUAUAAUGCAAGAUGCAGUACUGAGAAGUCAGAUGGAUCUAAGUAAGUAUAGUUACAGCUACUGAUUAUGCACGGGUAACUGUUUGGCCAAGGAGGAAAAGUUAGCUGCAUGUACAGUACUAGGAAAAUAAAAAUGACACGACCCAAGGAUGUUUAGUUUUUGCAUUGCCCAUCUCAUUUAGCAAUGUACUUUAAACUGUUACAGUAUUCUUUUUUGCAAGCAAUUUUUUGGUUCAAACAACACUAACUGUAUGUUGUUGAAAAAGUAGCCUACCUAUUAGUAUGGUAAUCACUUACGUGAAAUACUGAACCAUGUCCCUUGAAAAAUAUAUUUAUUUGUUAAAUAGAUUUUUAGCAUACUAAUAUCACUUCCUUAGGAUUUCAGAUUAAAUCAGAGUUCAUAUUCAGUAUACUUAUUUAAAAUGAGAUAAACAAUUUGAGCCAGAUACCAGCGUAUGAAUAAUGAUUUAUUGAUGACUGGCAGCCGAUCUACAGUGUGUUUUGUAAGCAGAACUUAAUUUUGUUUCCCCAGUUCACCAAGGGUGUUAUUGGCUCAUGCAGGUUACAGUUUGUCAACCAAUCAAAUUUCAUGUCAGUAUACAUAUAUUUGGUCUUCUAAAUUACCAACCAUAUGCUGAAUCUGCAGUUUACAAACACUUGAUAUAUAAUCUUUGUACAGAGCUACCAUGGUGCUCCUUUGAGUUUCUACUGCUUUAACCAGUUUUUUUCUGCCAUACGUUACUCAUCUCAUUUAUUUGUUGUUGUAGAUUGCCAAGAACUGAUGAUGCUUGGGUCAGAUGUUGAUGGCAAUGUCGAGAAUGUGGCCACUAUUAGAUAAUUAGAUGUCAAAUUUAGGGUCAACGUUUCAACCAUUGUAGUUGAUUGCAAGGUUGACAAUUGGGCUACUACUAGAUUGUUUCACAUCUUGUAAUCUUUGGAAUGUGUUCUUUUGUAAUGCAACACAAUUGAUUUAAUACAUGAGACCUUCUGUUCAUUAUAUUGCGACUCAUAUUUGCCCACUCAU